GCGCCCGGCCGAGGCAAUGGUUUUCAGC
RNAcentral lists this non-coding RNA (28 nucleotides) under Homo sapiens (human). Lineage: Eukaryota; Metazoa; Chordata; Mammalia; Primates; Hominidae. The record is from RNAcentral.